This 334-nucleotide long non-coding RNA is filed under the name Capsicum annuum. RNAcentral's name for it is "long non-coding RNA (CANN_LNC005839)". Lineage: Eukaryota; Viridiplantae; Streptophyta; Magnoliopsida; Solanales; Solanaceae. The record is from RNAcentral.
AAUUUCUAGUUCUAUUAUUAUUUCUCUUAGGACAUACAUUGGCUAGAUGGUCUAUGCUACCACACGUAUAACAUUCUAAUUUAUUUUUAUAAUUUCUGUCAUUUCUAUACUUUCUAACAUGCCUGUCUCUAUUCAACCAAGGUUUUUUAGCCUUUGACUUUCUUAAGAAGUAUUGUUUUCUACUAUAUGGUUUUUUAUUAUUUCUUUUCUUAUAUUUUUUAUGUUGCUUCUGAUCGUAAUUCUGGGUUGUGUAUAUAACAGAUUUACAGAAAUUCAUUUCAUUUCUUUUUAAUUGUUUUUGGAUUUGUAUGUUUGUACAUUUUUCUGUUAAUAU